GAUGAACGCUGGCGGCGUGCCUAAUACAUGCAAGUCGAACGGAGAAUGUAGCAAUACGUUCUUAGUGGCGAACGGGUGAGUAACGCGUUGGUGACCUGCCCCGAAGAGGGGGAUAACAGUCCGAAAGGAUUGCUAAUACCUCAUGUUGUUGCCGGGUUUAGAAGCCGGUAACUAAAGGCGUAAGCCACUUUGGGAGGGACCUGCGUCCCAUCAGCUAGUUGGUGAGGUAACGGCCCACCAAGGCGAUGACGGGUAGGGGACCUGAGAGGGUGGCCCCCCACAAUGGUACUGAAACACGGACCAUACACCUACGGGAGGCAG
RNAcentral lists this ribosomal RNA (321 nucleotides) under uncultured Chloroflexota bacterium. RNAcentral describes it as "bacterial SSU rRNA". It matches the Rfam family "Bacterial small subunit ribosomal RNA", at positions 28 to 351 of the family's 1533-position model. The record is from RNAcentral. Lineage: Bacteria; Bacillati; Chloroflexota.